This is a non-coding RNA of Brachypodium distachyon (stiff brome), 125 nucleotides long. The record is from Rfam. Lineage: Eukaryota; Viridiplantae; Streptophyta; Magnoliopsida; Poales; Poaceae.
AUAUUACUUCCUCCGUUCCAUAAUUCUUGUCGAAAUAUUACAUGUAUCUAAACAUUUUUUAGUAAUAGAUACAUUCAUAUUUGGGCAAAUUUGAGACAAGAAUUAUGGGACGGAGAGAGUACCUU